This 253-nucleotide ribosomal RNA is filed under the name uncultured bacterium. RNAcentral describes it as "partial 16S ribosomal RNA". It matches the Rfam family "Bacterial small subunit ribosomal RNA", at positions 524 to 776 of the family's 1533-position model. The record is from RNAcentral.
UACAGAGGUCUCAAGCGUUGUUCGGAUUCAUUGGGCGUAAAGGGUGCGUAGGUGGCGGGGUAAGUCGGGGGUGAAAUCCUGGGGCUCAACCUCAGAAUUGCCUCCGAUACUGGCAGUCUCGAGUGCGGGAGAGGUGAGUGGAAUUCCCAGUGUAGAGGUGAAAUUCGUAGAUAUUGGGAAGAACACCAGUGGCGAAGGCGGCUCACUGGCCCGUAACUGACGCUGAGGUGCGAAAGCGUGGGGAGCAAACAGG